This 607-nucleotide ribosomal RNA is filed under the name uncultured Fusarium. RNAcentral describes it as "eukaryotic LSU rRNA". The stretch from base 223 to 376 matches the Rfam family "5.8S ribosomal RNA". Lineage: Eukaryota; Fungi; Ascomycota; Sordariomycetes; Hypocreales; Nectriaceae. The record is from RNAcentral.
CAAACUUGGUCAUUUAGAGGAAGUAAAAGUCGUAACAAGGUCUCCGUUGGUGAACCAGCGGAGGGAUCAUUACCGAGUUAUACAACUCAUCAACCCUGUGAACAUACCUAAAACGUUGCUUCGGCGGGAACAGACGGCCCUGUAACAACGGGCCGCCCCCGCCAGAGGACCCCUAACUCUGUUUUUAUAAUGUUUUUCUGAGUAAACAAGCAAAUAAAUUAAAACUUUCAACAACGGAUCUCUUGGCUCUGGCAUCGAUGAAGAACGCAGCGAAAUGCGAUAAGUAAUGUGAAUUGCAGAAUUCAGUGAAUCAUCGAAUCUUUGAACGCACAUUGCGCCCGCCAGUAUUCUGGCGGGCAUGCCUGUUCGAGCGUCAUUACAACCCUCAGGCCCCCGGGCCUGGCGUUGGGGAUCGGCGGAAGCCCCCUGUGGGCACACGCCGUCCCUCAAAUACAGUGGCGGUCCCGCCGCAGCUUCCAUUGCGUAGUAGCUAACACCUCGCAACUGGAGAGCGGCGCGGCCAUGCCGUAAAACACCCAACUUCUGAAUGUUGACCUCGAAUCAGGUAGGAAUACCCGCUGAACUUAAGCAUAUCAAUAAGCGGAGG